UGCGGGGUAGAGCAGCAUGGUAGCUCGUCAGCCUCAUAAGCUGAAGGUCGCUGGUUCAAGUCCAGCCCCCACAACCA
RNAcentral lists this transfer RNA (77 nucleotides) under Rhizobium sp. BK456. Its description in RNAcentral is "tRNA-Met". It matches the Rfam family "tRNA". From Rfam's summary of the family: Transfer RNA (tRNA) molecules are approximately 80 nucleotides in length. Lineage: Bacteria; Pseudomonadati; Pseudomonadota; Alphaproteobacteria; Hyphomicrobiales; Rhizobiaceae. The record is from RNAcentral.